AUUGUCUCUAUUAUUGUAUGCAUUUCUCAUUCCAACGGCUUGUGUCUGUACGUCAGGACGCAGAGAUAAUCAGUGGUAUUUCUUCCACAGGGGAACACCGGCCACGAUGGACAUCCGGGACCACAGGGCAGUCGGGUCUGAGGCAGCCUCACAUCAUAUAUCACAUAUAUACAUAAUAUAUUCCCAUGACUUUAUUGUUGUGUGAAUGGUUGUAUAGUUGUUUGUUGUCCUGCUAUGUCCGUUUCUUAACUGUGUGCCAUACAGGCCUGUAGUAGUACUACUCCAAUUGAGCAGGCUGUGGGGCUACAACACUGUGGUUUUCAUUGUGUGUCCAGGGUGAACAGGGAAAAGACGGCUUCCACGGUAAUCCGGGUUUACCGGUAAGAUUUCAAUCCCCUGUCCUUUUUUGAAUGAAAAUCUGUCAAUUGCCCAAGUGUUUGCUUCUACAUACAGAACCAGUGUAUUCUCUCACAUAUUUCUAUAUACUUAGUAUUUCAAAAGGUGGUCCUAACCAUUAAAUAUAACAUAUGUGUAUUCUUGUUUUUCAUAAGGGGAUCCCAGGUUUGCAAGGACCGAUAGGAGAGCCUGGAGCCUCUGGGUGCAACGGAACAGAUGGUGAAGAUGGAAGCGCUGGUUUACCCGGCCACCAUGGUCCUGAAGGCCCCCCAGUAAGACCCUCAUUUGAAACGGCGUGCACACACACUAUAAGCACCAUGGUGGCCUCUGACUGUAUGGACGUUGUGGAAGAGUCUCUAAAGCCUGUUGUUUCUCUUUCAGGGUUUACCAGGACUGCACGGACCCAAGGUACAGAAGAGAAAUUUGAUGUUUUAUCACGACAUUGA
RNAcentral lists this long non-coding RNA (842 nucleotides) under Gadus morhua (Atlantic cod). Its description in RNAcentral is "lncRNA (ENSGMOG00000032075.1)". Lineage: Eukaryota; Metazoa; Chordata; Actinopteri; Gadiformes; Gadidae. The record is from RNAcentral.